RNAcentral lists this ribosomal RNA (407 nucleotides) under uncultured bacterium. RNAcentral's name for it is "partial 16S ribosomal RNA". It matches the Rfam family "Bacterial small subunit ribosomal RNA", at positions 28 to 526 of the family's 1533-position model. The record is from RNAcentral.
GACGAACGCUGGCGGCGUGCCUAAUACAUGCAAGUAGGACGCAGUUGCGAACGGGUUAGUAACGCGUAGGUAACUACCUAUUAGAGGGGGAUAACUAUUGGAAACGAUAGCUAAUACCGCAUACUAGUAGAUGGACCUGCGUUGUAUUAGCUAGUAGGUAGGGUAAUGUGCUACCUAGGCAACGAUACAUAGCCGACCUGUGAGGGUGAUCGGCCACACUGGGACUUGGACAAGGGCCAGACUCCUACGGGAGGUAGCAGUAGGGAAUCUUCGGCAAUGGGGGGAACCCUGACCGAGCCACGCCGCGUGAGUGAAGAAGGUUUUAGGAGCGUAAAGCUCUGUUGUUAAGGAAGCGGUACUUAACCAGAAAGGGACGGCUAACUACGUGCCAGCAGCCGCGGUAAUAC